GGACUACCGGGGUAUCUAAUCCCGUUCGCUCCCCUAGCUUUCGCGCCUCAGCGUCAGUCACAGGCCAGGACGCCGCCUUCGCCACUGGUGUUCCUCCGGGUCUCUACGCAUUUCACCGCUACUCCCGGAGUUCCACGUCCCUCUCCUGCACUCAGAUAGCGCGGCCGUUACCACUGACCCUCCCCAGUUGAGCCGGGGGCUUUCACAGCGGUCGCACCGCACCGCCUACGCGCGCUUUACGCCCAGUAAUUCCGGACAACGCUCGCCUCCUACGUAUUACCGCGGCUGCUGGCAC
Molecule: ribosomal RNA, 295 nt
Filed under: uncultured bacterium
Lineage: Bacteria
Description: partial 16S ribosomal RNA
Source: RNAcentral